This is a non-coding RNA of Xylella fastidiosa, 73 nucleotides long. The record is from Rfam. Lineage: Bacteria; Pseudomonadati; Pseudomonadota; Gammaproteobacteria; Lysobacterales; Lysobacteraceae.
GGGGAAGUAGCUCAGCUGGUAGAGCGCGUCGUUCGCAAUGACGAGGUCGGGAGUUCGAUCCUCCUCUUCUCCA